RNAcentral lists this ribosomal RNA (465 nucleotides) under Vreelandella stevensii. Its description in RNAcentral is "partial 16S ribosomal RNA". It matches the Rfam family "Bacterial small subunit ribosomal RNA", at positions 338 to 795 of the family's 1533-position model. Lineage: Bacteria; Pseudomonadati; Pseudomonadota; Gammaproteobacteria; Oceanospirillales; Halomonadaceae. The record is from RNAcentral.
CCUACGGGGGGCAGCAGUGGGGAAUAUUGGACAAUGGGGGCAACCCUGAUCCAGCCAUGCCGCGUGUGUGAAGAAGGCCCUCGGGUUGUAAAGCACUUUCAGUGAGGAAGAACGCCUGGUGGUUAAUACCCAUCAGGAAAGACAUCACUCACAGAAGAAGCACCGGCUAACUCCGUGCCAGCAGCCGCGGUAAUACGGAGGGUGCGAGCGUUAAUCGGAAUUACUGGGCGUAAAGCGCGCGUAGGUGGCUUGAUAAGCCGGUUGUGAAAGCCCCGGGCUCAACCUGGGAACGGCAUCCGGAACUGUCAAGCUAGAGUGCAGGAGAGGAAGGUAGAAUUCCCGGUGUAGCGGUGAAAUGCGUAGAGAUCGGGAGGAAUACCAGUGGCGAAGGCGGCCUUCUGGACUGACACUGACACUGAGGUGCGAAAGCGUGGGUAGCAAACAGGAUUAGAUAUCCGAGUAGUC